This is a non-coding RNA of Cinara cedri, 894 nucleotides long. NCBI's taxonomy places the organism in Eukaryota, Metazoa, Arthropoda, Insecta, Hemiptera, Aphididae. The record is from the annotation of a GenBank genome assembly.
UUUUUUUUUUUGAACUAUAUUAUCGAAAAACACAGCUGAUAAUGGGAUAGUCGUGUUGUGAAUGAUUUCGAUAUUUUUGUUGAUGAACCGAAGCGAUAUUUUUAACUGUCGGUUUUAGAACGGGUGAAAGAGAUGUUUUUUUUUCUUUUUUUGAUAUUUCCAAACCGUGUUACGUACUACCCACCACUCAAAAAAUUAACAUUUUUUUUUUUACUCGAUAUUAUAUUUCAUGAAAAUUCCAUCGGCCUAUACACGUGGUAAAUAAAAAAUAAUAAUAUCCUUCGUGAUAGAUGUUUCGUAUUUACACGGAAGUUCAAUUAUAAUAAAAUAAUAUUCAUUACGCAGCUCAGAUCCCCAUACGCGGCAUCGACUCUGAUGACGAUAACACGAUAACAACGAUAAUUUGUGUGACCUAUCUAUACCGUAUUAAAAUCAGUAGAAAAAAAAAACAAACGAAUAUGCUUUGCAUGAUGACGUGGGCCACUAGUAGGUGAAAAGUUGAAAAGAUUGAAGUAAAUUUAAUUUAUAUCUGUAUGCAACGAUUAAUUAUUGCUAACGAAAAACGAUUCUGAGCGAAGUUCAGUUACAAGUGUUUUAAAAGGCCGUAAUAUUUACAGUUUGAAAAUAAGUACAUUUCGUAAAUUUUCCCGUUUUUCAUACGUUUUUUCUCGGUUUUUUCAUUUAUUAUGGAAACUCCUGGGGAACUCAAAAAAUGAUCUCCUUAGAGUUAGAUUUCCUUUCAGAAAACGUGCUAUACUUGAAAAUCAAAGUAAAAUAUCUGGUAGAAAAAUUGUUGAAAGAGAAAAAAAAUGAUAAAAUCAAUACAUUCCUCGCUCCGUUCAGAAUUUAAAAUUUCUAUCAAUGCACUUGUUUAUUUUUCUCCACCCCCUGUUA